UACAGAGGGUGCGAGCGUUAAUCGGAAUUACUGGGCGUAAAGGGCGCGUAGGCGGAUGUGCAAGUGAGAUGUGAAAUACCCGGGCUCAACCUGGGAACGGCAUCUUAAACUGCAUAUCUGGAGUACUGUAGAGGAUAGUGGAAUUUCCGGUGUAGCGGUGAAAUGCGUAGAGAUCGGAAGGAACAUCAGUGGCGAAGGCGACUGUCUGGACAGAUACUGACGCUGAGGCGCGAAAGCGUGGGGAGCAAACAGG
This 253-nucleotide ribosomal RNA is filed under the name uncultured bacterium. Its description in RNAcentral is "partial 16S ribosomal RNA". It matches the Rfam family "Bacterial small subunit ribosomal RNA", at positions 524 to 776 of the family's 1533-position model. The record is from RNAcentral.